RNAcentral lists this ribosomal RNA (252 nucleotides) under Acinetobacter baumannii. Its description in RNAcentral is "partial 23S ribosomal RNA". It matches the Rfam family "Bacterial large subunit ribosomal RNA", at positions 2254 to 2505 of the family's 2925-position model. Lineage: Bacteria; Pseudomonadati; Pseudomonadota; Gammaproteobacteria; Moraxellales; Moraxellaceae. The record is from RNAcentral.
GUGUCUGGUGGGUAGUUUGACUGGGGCGGUCUCCUCCCAAAGCGUAACGGAGGAGCACGAAGGUUAGCUAAUCCUGGUCGGACAUCAGGAGGUUAGUGCAAUGGCAUAAGCUAGCUUGACUGCGAGCGUGACGGCGCGAGCAGGUGCGAAAGCAGGUCAUAGUGAUCCGGUGGUUCUGAAUGGAAGGGCCAUCGCUCAACGGAUAAAAGGUACUCCGGGGAUAACAGGCUGAUACCGCCCAAGAGUUCAUAU